CCUACGGGGGGCAGCAGUGGGGAAUAUUGGACAAUGGGGGGAACCCUGAUCCAGCCAUGCCGCGUGUGUGAAGAAGGCCCUCGGGUUGUAAAGCACUUUCAGUGAGGAAGAACGCCUGGUGGUUAAUACCCAUCAGGAAAGACAUCACUCACAGAAGAAGCACCGGCUAACUCCGUGCCAGCAGCCGCGGUAAUACGGAGGGUGCGAGCGUUAAUCGGAAUUACUGGGCGUAAAGCGCGCGUAGGUGGCUUGAUAAGCCGGUUGUGAAAGCCCCGGGCUCAACCUGGGAACGGCAUCCGGAACUGUCAAGCUAGAGUGCAGGAGAGGAAGGUAGAAUUCCCGGUGUAGCGGUGAAAUGCGUAGAGAUCGGGAGGAAUACCAGUGGCGAAGGCGGCCUUCUGGACUGACACUGACACUGAGGUGCGAAAGCGUGGGUAGCAAACAGGAUUAGAUACCCUGGUAGC
Molecule: ribosomal RNA, 464 nt
Filed under: Vreelandella stevensii
Lineage: Bacteria; Pseudomonadati; Pseudomonadota; Gammaproteobacteria; Oceanospirillales; Halomonadaceae
Description: partial 16S ribosomal RNA
Rfam family: Bacterial small subunit ribosomal RNA
Source: RNAcentral